UACGUAGGCAGCGAGCGUUGUUCGGAGUUACUGGGCGUAAAGGGUGUGUAGGCGGUUCUUUAAGUUUGGUGUGAAAUCUCCCGGCUUAACCGGGAGGGUGCGCCGAAUACUGAGGGACUAGAGUACGGGAGAGGAAAGUGGAAUUCCUGGUGUAGCGGUGAAAUGCGUAGAUAUCAGGAGGAACACCUGUGGUGUAGACAGCUUACUGGACCAUUUCUGACGCUGAGACACGAAAGCGUGGGUAGCAAACAGG
RNAcentral lists this ribosomal RNA (253 nucleotides) under uncultured bacterium. RNAcentral describes it as "partial 16S ribosomal RNA". It matches the Rfam family "Bacterial small subunit ribosomal RNA", at positions 524 to 776 of the family's 1533-position model. The record is from RNAcentral.